AUACAGAGGGUGCAAGCGUUAAUCGGAAUUACUGGGCGUAAAACGCGCGUAGGCGGUUUGUUAAGUUGGAUGUGAAAGCCCCGGGCUUAACCUGGGAGGGUCAUUCAAAACUGGCAGACUAGAGUGUGGUAGAGGGUAGUGGAAUUCCUAGUGUAGCGGUGAAAUGCGUAGAGAUUAGGAGGAACACCAGUGGCGAAGGCGACUGCCUGGACCAACACUGACGCUGAGGUGCGAAAGCGUGGGUAGCGAACAGGAUUAGAAACCCCGGUAGUCC
Molecule: ribosomal RNA, 274 nt
Filed under: uncultured bacterium
Lineage: Bacteria
Description: partial 16S ribosomal RNA
Rfam family: Bacterial small subunit ribosomal RNA
Source: RNAcentral